Equus caballus (horse) is the source of this 727-nucleotide non-coding RNA. The record is from RefSeq and is a predicted model, not a curated record. NCBI's taxonomy places the organism in Eukaryota, Metazoa, Chordata, Mammalia, Perissodactyla, Equidae.
CUACAUACAAAAUGCUCCCCUAACAUAUGACGUGAUCUCAAGAACUCUGAACAGAGGGAUAUAACAUCAAAAAAACACUCUUGGCUAUGUAGACAUAGCUGAUGCUUGCUCCACGUUUGAAAAAAUGCUUCUGUGGUCAGUAACAUCUGAAUGUUGUUGGGUGAGGUAACCUAGGGUUGCCAUGGAGACAGGUUUUCCGGCUGUGCCUGUAUCAUGAAACUUCACUGAGUUGCUUCUCAUCUGCAGCUGAACGCCUGGAUAUUGAGGGAAGAGGGUCAUGCACAAAUCCCAGACACAUUCUGAAAGAGAACAAAGCUGUGGCAACAGGAGACUCACCAAGCCCUUUCCAUCGAUGGACCUCAAAGUCCCAUUUGUGCCUAAGGAGAGCAAUCUGGGGACAGAAGUGGCUUCUGAGCACCUACGGAAGUGUCUAAGUACACCCUGACAUGGAGCAAGCACCCAGAGCGUUCGCAGAGUGAAUCGGUGAAGGAGGAGCAUGACGGGACAGUGAGUUAAGAACACAGAUUUUGGAACGCCUGGGUUAAAACCCCAGCUCUUCUACUUCUUCACUCUCUCUCCCUGGACAAGUUAUUAAGCCAUUUUAUUUUGCCUCAGUUUCCUCACCUAUAAAAGGGGGAUAAUAGCAGAACCUACAUCAUAGAGUUGUUAUAAGGAUUUAAUGAGUCGACGUAAGUUGUUUGUUAAAUAAAUAAAUGAGAGGCAUCCA